AAAUGAUUGGGCGNAAAGCGUCUGUAGGUGGCUUUUUAAGUCCGCCGUCAAAUCCCAGGGCUCAACCCUGGACAGGCGGUGGAAAACNACCCAAGCUGGAGUACGGUAGGGGCAGAGGGAAUUUCCGGUGGAGCGGUGAAAUGCGUAGAGAUCGGAAAGAACACCAACGGCGAAAGCACCUGCUGGGCCGACACUGACACUGAGAGACGAAAGGCUAGGGGAGCGCCACCCCGGGCAUUAGAUACCCCCAGUUAGUCCUAGCCGUAAACGAUGGAUACUAGGCGCUGUGCGUAUCGACCCGUGCAGUGCUGUAGCUCNACGCGUUAAGUAUCCCGUCCUGGGGAGUACGUUCGCCCACGCAAUGANACUCAAAGGAAUUG
Molecule: ribosomal RNA, 380 nt
Filed under: uncultured cyanobacterium
Lineage: Bacteria; Bacillati; Cyanobacteriota
Description: bacterial SSU rRNA
Rfam family: Bacterial small subunit ribosomal RNA
Source: RNAcentral